RNAcentral lists this transfer RNA (84 nucleotides) under Clostridia bacterium. Its description in RNAcentral is "tRNA-Leu". It matches the Rfam family "tRNA". From Rfam's summary of the family: Transfer RNA (tRNA) molecules are approximately 80 nucleotides in length. Their secondary structure includes four short double-helical elements and three loops (D, anti-codon, and T loops). The record is from RNAcentral. Lineage: Bacteria; Bacillati; Bacillota; Clostridia.
GCAGGCGUGGCGGAACGGCAGACGCGCUGGUUUCAGGUUCCAGUGUUGAGAGACGUGUGGGUUCAAAUCCCGUCGCCUGCACCA